This 73-nucleotide transfer RNA is filed under the name Dendronephthya gigantea. RNAcentral describes it as "tRNA-Thr". It matches the Rfam family "tRNA". From Rfam's summary of the family: Transfer RNA (tRNA) molecules are approximately 80 nucleotides in length. Their secondary structure includes four short double-helical elements and three loops (D, anti-codon, and T loops). The record is from RNAcentral. Lineage: Eukaryota; Metazoa; Cnidaria; Anthozoa; Malacalcyonacea; Nephtheidae.
GCCUCAUUAGCUCAGUGGUUAGAGCACUGGUCUUGUAAACCAGGGGUCCAGGGUUCAACUCUCUGAUGAGGCU